AUCAUCUGAGGAGCUUGUUAAAAUGCAGAUUCUGAUUCAGUGGGUCUGAGGUGAAGCCCAAGAGUCUGCAUUUCUAACAAGCUCCCAGGUGUAGUCAU
Non-coding RNA from Bos taurus (domestic cattle), 98 nucleotides. The record is from Rfam. NCBI's taxonomy places the organism in Eukaryota, Metazoa, Chordata, Mammalia, Artiodactyla, Bovidae.